UGCCAGCCGCCGCGGUAAUACGGGGGAUGCAAGCGUUAUCCGGAAUCAUUGGGCGUAAAGCGCCUGUAGGUUGUUUAAUAAGUCUGUUGCUAAAGACUAGGGCUCAACCCUAGAAAAGCAAUGGAAACUACUAAACUAGAGUAUGGCAGGGGUAGAGGGAAUUUCUAGUGUAGCGGUGAAAUGCGUAGAUAUUAGAAAGAACACCGGUGGCGAAAGCGCCCUACUGGACCAUUACUGACACUCAGAGGCGAAAGCUAGGUUAGCAACAGGGAUUAGAUA
This 279-nucleotide ribosomal RNA is filed under the name uncultured bacterium. RNAcentral's name for it is "partial 16S ribosomal RNA". It matches the Rfam family "Bacterial small subunit ribosomal RNA", at positions 506 to 784 of the family's 1533-position model. The record is from RNAcentral.